UCGAGCGGUAGCACAGGAGAGCUUGCUCUCUGGGUGACGAGCGGCGGACGGGUGAGUAAUGUCUGGGAAACUGCCUGAUGGAGGGGGAUAACUACUGGAAACGGUAGCUAAUACCGCAUAACGUCUUCGGACCAAAGUGGGGGACCUUCGGGCCUCACGCCAUCAGAUGUGCCCAGAUGGGAUUAGCUAGUAGGUGGGGUAAUGGCUCACCUAGGCGACGAUCCCUAGCUGGUCUGAGAGGAUGACCAGCCACACUGGAACUGAGACACGGUCCAGACUCCUACGGGAGGCAGCAGUGGGGAAUAUUGCACAAUGGGCGCAAGCCUGAUGCAGCCAUGCCGCGUGUGUGAAGAAGGCCUUCGGGUUGUAAAGCACUUUCAGCGAGGAGGAAGGGUGGUGUGUUAAUAGCGCAUCACAUUGACGUUACUCGCAGAAGAAGCACCGGCUAACUCCGUGCCAGCAGCCGCGGUAAUACGGAGGGUGCAAGCGUUAAUCGGAAUUACUGGGCGUAAAGCGCACGCAGGCGGUUUGUUAAGUCAGAUGUGAAAUCCCCGCGCUUAACGUGGGAACUGCAUUUGAAACUGGCAAGCUAGAGUCUUGUAGAGGGGGGUAGAAUUCCAGGUGUAGCGGUGAAAUGCGUAGAGAUCUGGAGGAAUACCGGUGGCGAA
Molecule: ribosomal RNA, 668 nt
Filed under: uncultured bacterium
Lineage: Bacteria
Description: bacterial SSU rRNA
Rfam family: Bacterial small subunit ribosomal RNA
Source: RNAcentral